This 253-nucleotide ribosomal RNA is filed under the name uncultured prokaryote. RNAcentral's name for it is "partial 16S ribosomal RNA". It matches the Rfam family "Bacterial small subunit ribosomal RNA", at positions 525 to 777 of the family's 1533-position model. The record is from RNAcentral.
ACGUAGGCAGCAAGCGUUGUUCGGAAUUACUGGGCGUAAAGAGUGUGUAGGCGGUGUUCUAAGUUUGUCGUGAAAUCUCCCGGCUUAACUGGGAGGGUGCGGCGAAAACUGGAAUGCUAGAGGAUGGGAGAGGUAAGCGGAAUUCCUGGUGUAGCGGUGAAAUGCGUAGAUAUCAGGAGGAACACCUGUGGUGUAGACAGCUUACUGGACCAUUUCUGACGCUGAGACACGAAAGCGUGGGUAGCAAACAGGA